GGGCCCGCUGGAGCUGCCGUUCAGAGGGCGAAUGCGACCCACGCUGAUUCCGAGCCUGUGUAAUGACGAGCCGUUCCGCCAGGGAGGUGCGUAGACUGUUCGAGGACCCGUCUAUUUUCAGACGAUCCAAUUUUUUUUUGCACAAUCCAAACCUACAAAUCUCAUGCGUCAAACGUGAUGGGUUUCAGACAGAGAUCACAGAGGAAGGGGAAGCGGGGAACCAAGAAUGUGACCAGAGCUCAACAAAGGGCACAGGAAGAAGGGGACAGGGGAAGACGCCCCCCUGCUGAGGAAAGGCGACAGUCUGGGCCUGCCCCAGAGAAGAUGACCCUGUCUGAAGGCCGCAGGGGAGGAAGCGCACAGGGAGGAGGCCGUUCUGGGAAGUGAGGACACAGCCAGGGGAGAGCAACAAGCUCAAUUAUAGAAAGAGCCGCAGGCAGAUCGGCUGGAGGAGGGAGUGUUUGGAAUUUGAGACCGUGAGCAGGCCAGAAGUGGGGGAGUCAGAGAGGACGGGGAGAGAGAAACCUUGGGGGCAGCCAGAGGAGGAAUGAACUCCACGUCCAGAGCGAGCUCCCGGAGCGGGAGAGCGUGCGAGGCCACAGACAGAGCUAACGGCGAACUUGAGAAAUAAAGCCAAACCAAACCGAAACGAAGGAAAAGGAAAGGAAGAGAAAACAGACCGUGUACCUUCAGUGAGAGGAAUGGGAAGCACUCGACUGUGUGGAAUUCGUUUGAUCACGUGGGUUGUUAAUUCUUUCUGGGGGUCAUGCAUUUGCAUAUGGAAUAUGUAAACACCUCAAGAGGGUCAACUGCGGAGAAAUAAGGCCCAGGACGGGGAAAGGGUGUCUGAGUUAGAGCCCCACGAGGUUCACCUAAGGAUUCGGAGGGGUGUGACCCUAGAGAACCUGGAAAGUGGGCUGACCGGGAGUCCGUUACCUGACGGCUGUUGGUGCCACUUGGGAAAAACUCACGACGCUUGUCCUCUGUGGGAUACGAGGCUUGAGCAGUGGGCUAGACUAGUCUACUGUUUGUCUUAAAGAAGAAAGCAUCUCUUCUGGUUGACGGUGACAGUAGGUAGCACUGCGGUCCCCAGGAAUUGUGGAAGGUGGCCUCUCUGUGUCUUAGGCCUUGGCAGGGGGCUUCCCCUAACAAUAAUCACUUAAGGACUGCAAUAGCUAGCAUUUAUUGGGGGUCCCAUCUCAGUACUGUGCUAAGCUCUUGAAUGUAGACCAUCUUCAUUAUUUGUGGAUUCUAUAUUCACCUACUUGCUAAAAUUUAUUUGUGACUCCAAAAUUAGUACUCACAGAGCUUUUGUGGUCUUCACAGAGCAGAGAGAAAUUUGAGUCCCCUGACACGCAUGUGUGAUCCCGGCUGAGGUCCAACGGGGUGACACACUGUGUCUUCAAGUUUCGGCUCUCAUGCCGUAAACAAGUGUCCUUCUUGGGGUCUAUGCGGUGCCAUGGUUUUCACAGUUUCGUGCUUUUUGUUGGUGAUCUCACUGUUUGAAGUGGCCCCCAAGUGUAAUGUGACAGUACUGUCUCAUGUUUCUGAGCACAAAAAAGCUGUGAUCUGCUCUAGGGGGAAAAUAUACGUGUUAGAUAAGCUUUGUUCCAGCCUGAGUUAGGGUGCCGUUGGCUAUGAAUUUGAUAUUAACGAAUCAAUCCUAUAUACUAAAUAAGGGGUCUUUAAACAGAAACACAUAUAAAACAAGGUUAAAUAUUGACCAAUUGGCAAAAAUGUGACCGAGACUCUCAAGAACCUGGCUUUGAAGCCCCCCUAGGACGGUAGAUUGGUUUCGGCUUGUUCGGUGUUGAUGGUGAUUUACAGGACAGAACCACCAGAAAUAGUAAGAACCGACUCUAUAUUAUUUCACGUAAUAGUCACAAUUCCAGAAAGUAAUCUCAUUUUUUAAUAAUAAAAAAAAAAAUUAAGAGAGGUUAAAUGUUGCGUUCCAAGCUUCCCCAAUGACAAACAAGGAGGAGCCAGCUCUGACCUUGGAGCCCCAGCUCACGGUGACCUCGCACGAUGCAGGGAGGGCUUCAUUCAUGAGCAGCCGUGCCGUGCCGUGGCCCCAGGACACUCCUCGAGCUGUUUAAUGGGGAUUUAAAGCAGAAAUGAAAUUUCUGAAAUCACAGGUAGAGAAAAAACCAGGAAAAUGCUCUUUGUUAUUGUUGCUAUGAACUGUUUAUAUUCCCGAAUGCUAUGGCCUGGGGGCCGUGGGGCUCCUUGAGGCUCUGACCAGGCUUGGAAGAGGAUAAAAUGCUAUGCACGUAUGUAGUACCCUAGGAGAACGCUGGGCGGGAGCAGGAAAUUCUAGUUCUAGUCCUGAUUCUGCCAGUAACUUGCUUCCAACCUUUGAGAAAGCCUUCUUCAUAGCCUUAUACCAUUGCUGCUCUACCUGCGAAAUGAAAGUUUUGGGUGGAUGAUUCUCUCCGCUCCAUGUUUUUAUGAUCUGAAAGCUGCAAAGCUCUGUAUGGCUUCUAACUGGGUGACCGUAAGUCCUAUCUUGCCUGGAACAGGCUUGAUCUACACUUUUUGUCUUGCCAUAAUUAUUAAUAACAUCUUUCGCUCUCAAGAGUGUGCCCGUUUGGACAAUCAAUUAUAUAGCUGCCUUGUGCUUAAGCACGAUUGUUUCUUGUGUUUUCUUGGCUGGGUCAGAUGCAAGACUGUUGGCCCUGGUCUUGUUAGUGGAGACCAGCUGUGUUUUCUGGACUCAGUGGGUUCUUGGUGUCUGGGUGUUGAGCUACUUGGUUCCUGGUCCACCUAACCUGGCUCUUGAUUCUCACUGUGGAUCGUUAUUAGAAAGUGUCCUGCUGCUAAAGCUGGGAAACAACUCUGUUUGCUUUUUGGCUCCCCAAAAGGAAAUCGUACCAGCCAGACAGUAAAAAGGGGAAAGUCUUUAGUCCUGAGAAAAAAUAGUUUGAUACAGCACUGCUGAUUCAAGGACGUAGUCCUUGUCAUAUUAGAUUUGGUGCUUUCCUUCAUCAAAUUGACUGUAAUCGUAAUGUAAUUAUGUCCACACUUAUUGAAAGUAACGAAAUUUAAUUUUGAAAUACAGAAAUAAAAAAAACUAGACUGAGAAGUGAAAUGUUGAAACCAAAACUUCCGGCAGUUUUUUGAGUCUCUACAAACAUCCUGUUGUUUGUCUUUCUAAACAUAUUGUUUCAUCCUCUUGCUGUCGUGUAAGAAAGUCACAUGAAUUACUAUGCAAAAAAUAUCUUCAGUGUUAAAACAUUAUAUUCUCCCUCUUCCAUUCAAAUUCAAUAGAAAUAAAGCACAAAAAAGAAAAUAGUUAUGUCUAUUGUUAUUCUUUCUAGUAGGUUGAAAUGCGCUAUAUAAUUUUACUACACGAUUGCUAAUUUGCUUAGCAAAGCAUUUCUCUUCCUGCAUAGUGAAAUACAAACUUUAGCACAGGCCAGAUUAAAUAAUCUUCGACUUUCUGAAUAUAGUUUGGAAAAUUAAAUGAUUAAUUAGUCUAAUUUUCUAAUCUGUGUUUCUGAACCAAACUCUCCUUAUUUAACUUUCUAGGUAAUCUAAGUUAUUUAACUUUCUGGGUCAUCUUCAGUUAUUCAACCCAGAAAGUAUAAUCUGUUAACGAUUAAACAGAUAUCACCAAACUGGUAUUUUAAUUGAAAUACUGUUUCUGCAUGCUGCUCACAGGCUAGAAACAAACCAUUUCUCGGUUGCAAUUCCUUGCUUCCUGGAAAAAACUAUUUUUUUUUUUUUCAGAAAGAAGUGUUGGGGGAGAAGUUGUAUAUUUUGCAAACCUGAUUGACAAACUUGUGUCUGCUAUUACAACCUUUUGGGACGAUACCGAGAUGGGGUGGUUAUUGGCUAAAAGAUCAUAUUCCUUGGAACUUGCCAACCAUAACUUCGGAUGUAAAGCCGUGCCCUUGAUGGUCUAAAACAAAGAUGUUGAAGCUGCCCCGUGUCCUUGCCUCUGAAAUUCUUGCUUUGUGGUCGGGAAAUGACCCGAGGCAGGCCCAGAGCCUGGGGGGUUCUGCUGGUUUAUGCCCUAACGAGGAAGAAACCAGCAGCAGCUCAUAUCUGGUUCAGUUUUGAGUUUAAAAUAGCAUCUGCUUGCUGUCUUUGCCAAAAAAAGGGGCAUUUUGAUCAUACGAGCCAACAGCAAAAGGCAUUUUGCAUUUUAUAAAAACAAAACAACAACGACAAAAAACCUGUUUGUUGCUGGUUUCUUACAGUUUCCACAAUUAUCUGAAUUUGAAAUGCUGAAUGUUGUUAGGACAUUUUUACUUUGUUACUGAGACACGUGUUAAGUAAAAACCUUUUAUGAUGUUGGGCCUUUAGGCUUAGUCUGUUUUCUGUUAAUAAUCCUUCUUAUUUGAUUAUGAAAAAAAUAAAACAAAACAACUGUUGCCUCUUUGCCUGGCGUCUGGUUCAAGACAUUUGACUUUGAAAUGCUGGCCUAAGGAGAAGAUUCUGCGGUUGCUAUUUGCUGAGCCAGGAACAAUGGAGGUUGCUGUGUUCGUUGGACUCAGGUACCCCUGUCACCCGUCUCCUCUCCAGCUGUGUUCUCAUACUUUGAAAGUCUCGCGAGCACAGACCUCACUUUGGGCAUGACCGUGCAUAGUUUCACCUUCCUCUUUCAUCCAAGAUUUGCGGGAAAAUCAAAAGUCACGUGGUAAUCAGCUCACAUCAUGAACUACGGGCAAAGAUUGAGCCAGCCGCUCCUGGGGACACCGAUCACGGGUAAGACCGCGUCACACAAGUGAGGUAGGCGAUGACCCAGGCUCAGAGCCAAGAAGGCCGUAGGCUUGAGGUGAUGCUGGGAGUGAUCAGUUAACACCCCACAAACUCUGCUUUGGGGUCAGAGAAGCUAUUUUUUCUCUUUGGAUUUUCUGCUCUGAGCGGGUGUCUUUGGGCCCGUCUCACGUGAGUAUAUCCUCCUGGGAGGAGGGGAUCGUAGGUGUUCGCCCUUGACGGGAGUAGGCUCACAGGAGAUAGGACUCUUGAAGAGCUUUCCCCUGCAUAACUUUCAUUUUCUCACGGUUAGAAACAAAACUAAACAAUUUAAGUAAUUGUGUUUCAUGGAAAUCAAGAAAGAAAAAACGGUGACUGUGAAGUCAUGGACCAUAAUGCUCACACAUAUACGGGAAGAUUCUGAGAACGGAGAACAUCCUGUGCAAGGAAAUAAUGAAGCAAGUCCCCCAACAUUCUGAUGAACCUAAAUAUAUUUAAAGUAACAAAAAUGCGAAGAGGGCCCUUCUGAAGUCACGAAAUCUGCAGAUGAAGCAAAGAACCGAUUUUGAUUUUACUGAAAUAAAAGGAGAUUUAUUUGUCUGUGGGCAUCAGCGCCAAACCAGGUCUAAGCAGGGGUUUGCAGCAAAGAAAGGAAACGUUUAUUUAAGGAAAUGGCACCAAGGUGAGCUAGCGCUCAAAGGCUGGCUCCCAGAUGCCCCUAGGGAACGGGUUAUGCAGGGGCAAGAUUAUUAGCCAUGGCGGCUGAGGGAGUUCGGGUCGUGGGCCAUGGCAAUGGUCAGGGUUAGCGUACGAGGCAGCUGGUCAUUGAUCAAGACCUGAGGUCAGUCAUGGCGUCAUUCUGUUUGGUCUCGAGGGGAGGUGGCCUGUGGGAUCAGUCCUCCUUCAUGGGUGUGGAGCUGAAACGCAGCUGAGGUCAAGAUGUUAUCUUUGGUUUGACCGAAACUGUUUCUGUGGUCAACAGACCUGAGGCUUUGUUCCUAAGACUGUUUGAUGCUGCCCAAAAUCUGAUGUCCGAAGGGCGUAAUGAUUAAGGGAGUGGGCGCGCAGGUGUGUGAAGGUGGAGGGAGAAGCCAAGAAAAGAAGUGAGUACAAGGCCAGUGUGAAGCCAGGACAAAGCGAAGAGCCAAAGGCAUUUUAAACAAGUGAAGAUUUGCACGGUCACAGCCGUGCGCUCACCGCGAGGCGCUGAACACAGGGCGCAGGGAGGGGAUUCACCAGGUGCGUUUAGUGGGUGGGCAAGGUCGGAAUGAAAUGACCAAGGCAAGGAGCCCAGGGGAAAAGAGACAGGUUUUCUUUUCCUCAUCUUAAAAAAAAAAAAGUUUGAAAUGUCCCAAAGGAUGAGCAAAGGGCUUUUCUUCAAAAGAGAAGGAGCUAUUCCUGAGACCGAGCAGGUGGAAGGAUGGAAGCUGGUCGCCUUCUCGUAGGAAGGACGGGGCUGGAGAAACCGCGGAGAGAAUUUCAUCCAGCUGUUGGAGGUCUCGCAGGACAAGGACGUGAGACUUGACUCAUCGGCAGGUCCACGUGAUGAACUGAAAACGCCCCCGAGGAGAAGAGAAAGGCUUGGUCUUUUUUUUUUUGGCAAUAAAUAAUGACAUAACUGUUGAAAUGUGAUAAAGAGAUUGAUAAAGAUCACAUUAUAUUUAGGCGUAUUCCUUCAAAUUUUCUUCUCUAUGACACUGUGCCUUAUACAGGUGAAAUAAUUCAAUAUGACAAUGAAUGCUUUUUGCUAACAAUUUUUUUAGUUUAAAAAGCAUAAUUAUCUCUUUUCUUGCUUCUGUCGGUUUGUUCCUGAUUGAGGAAGGCCCGUCUGUAGACCCUUUGUCCCCGUAGGAGGAGACAGCAGUGUUUACAUGGUGGCAUGCACUGUAUUUUGAGAUUUAGUGCACACGUCAUAUGACUGGCUUUGAACGUCUAUACCAAUUGAGUGAUGGCAAAUGGCAAAUGUUAAACCCUAGAAACAACAAAUAAUCACUGAGAUCAUCGUAAGGGAGAGAAGACAAGCUUUGGAGCCAGAAGGAUCUGGGCUCAAAGCCCAGCUGCAGGGUAACCAGCUGUGUCACCUGUAACUGCUGUGAGCAGCUUCCCAUCUGCAUUAGCUGUAAUUUCUAAUACGCUGUACUGUUGUAGGAAUUAGAUAUAAUAUAUGCAAACUGCUAACAUGGUGCCUCACAGAGCUUUGGGGCCUUAGGGCUCAUUGCUGCUAUUACAGAAUACCGUGAGACCAUUUCCAGGAGUAUGAAUAUUAGAUGCAUGGAGUAUCUUAAACCCAGUGAUUUAAAAAAAAAUCCCUCCGAUCAUCUAAAGUCAUAACACAGCAAAUCUGAAAAUGGUUAUUGGAAGUAUUAAGAACUACAAAAUUUCUGUCCAAACUAGAAAUAUUUUUGGCCUCGCCUCGAGUGACUGACUGUCCUGUUUUGCCCCAAACUGAAGGAGUCGCUAGAAUGUGGGACUUUCGGUACGAAACCUGGGAAAGUCCCAGGCAAACCAGGAUGAGUUAGUCACCCUAGCCCCGCCUCACAGUUGUCUGGCCUUUUUGCUACAACUGGGAUUCUCUUGGACUGGCAGCUUUACUUGGAAAUCAAUUAGAAAUGCAAAUCCUUGGGUCCCAACCCACACCUUCUGAGUCAGAAACCCAGGCCUGGGCCCAGCAGUCUGGGUUUAAAUAAGUUCUCCAAAUGAUUUUAAGCCAUGCAGCAUGCUAAAGUUUGACGAACAUUGCUCUACAAUACGUCGCUUAUAUCAGACUAAGAUAUUUUGUGAAGAAGAAUAGAAAGACACAAUGUAUUGAGCCUAUUUUAAUUUCAGACUAAGAUAUUUUGUGAAGAAGAAUAGAAAGACACAGUGUAUUGAGCCUAUUUUAAUUUCUUUUUAAGACACGAGUCAGCGUUUUCAUGGCUGGUAGUCCCAUUACGAAAAAUUCAAGUUGUCUAUCAUUUAAUUGCUGAGCUCCAACAGCGAAGAACGAGAAACGAGAAAGAAAAUGACACACUGAGGCUAGGAUAAUACUGCAGCUCAGGAAAUUACACCCGUUGAGGUUCUGAGGGGAGGUGGGUAAGGAGAGUUGAGUUAUGCAAACUAAAAUGUGGGUUAUAGUCUAACAGCUCACCUACCUUUGCCAGGUGUCAUGCACUCAGCGUCCCGAACUGGGACUAGGGCAGGAAGUGUGUGGGUAGGGCUACAUGAUAUUUCUGGAAGGAAACAGCCAGGAGCCUCCCAAACUAAUGCCAUUUUAGUCUCUUUAGCAACCAUACCAGUCAGAGCCUCGGAAAGGCUUAGGUUCCUUUUGCAAAGGAAACCAAGGGAAUUUUCGUAAUACCUCGUCACUAUUAUUAAGGUAUGACUUGAAACAUUUGAAUGUCUAAGACACAGGACGAUACAACAAUUUAUUUUAUUCCAUAAUAUUGAAAUCUUCACACCAAGCCCCUCAGCAGCUAACAGGGUUUCCUCUGUGAGGGGUUAUCUCUUUUUGUGGGGAGUGGGAUGGGGGGAGGAAGAAACAGCCAAAUACUAUCACACCGAUGAGUGGAAAUGACUGGCGGAACGGGCCGCUAAACUCCAAUUGUCACCACUGUUCCCGUAGGGAGUCUGGGAAUGUUAGCGGAAGACGAAGGUGACACCACUUGAUUAUUUUCCAUCGAUUGCCUUAAUGUUUGCAUAAAAUAUGAUAUAAGCACGUGUCAUCAUUAGAUUUGCCACAGAUCCUAAUUCUUCCUCCAAUACUAGGCCUAACCAUGCCUUUCUUUCCCAAGAAGAACUAUCUUUGACCAGGUAUAAAAUCAGCCGUGGCUUCCUCCAUUAACCCUUCCUCCUCAACCCACUGCCGAGUCCUAGAGGUCAAGUCCUCAUCUUGCUAAACCCAGGACUCACAAAGGCCAACGUUUCUGCUAGCGUGUGCUAAUUUUUGUCUUAGUUGAAAGUAUAUCUUUUCUAUUAUGCUCUCGAAAUGUUGGAUAAAUUUAACUCGAAAAGAAAUAUGAUGCCACUAGCUUUGUACCUGCUUAUGAGUUGUAGGUCUCUCUGUCUGAUUACGGUAAGCUAAGCCACAUUCUAGGCAGGUGACAUUCAAUGACAAUACCGCCCCAGCAAAUUGGUUUAAUUAGCAAUCUCAAAGGCGGUCAUUUAAAUAGAUGGCAGAUAACCUUUACACGGUCUCACAUUAUUUUUCAUUAAUUACCAAAUAAAACUAGAUAUUGAAGCUUCUUCAUAAUGGAAUAAGGAACUCACACUUGAAACACUGUGUAUUAAAGAUACCUGUAGCUUAUUCCUCUCUUUAAAAAAAAUGCAAAUGGCAUCUUUACUUUAUUUCAAACCCCAGCCCUGAUGGCUGUCCAAACGUUAUGGCAGACAUAACUUCUUGAGCCACUAUAGGAAGGACAGGUAAACACUGAGUUAGCAAUCUUUAAAAUCAGGAAUAGGAGUACAAAGGGAUAGGAUUUGAAACUUCACGACCACUCCCUGUUCCUGUUCAAUUCUCUUUUUUCUGCUCCCUAAACCAAUGGGGGUGAGAGAAGGGCCACACUUCUGCGGCUCUUUCUGAAAAGUAGAAUUGAAUUUGGGAAACAAAGAUGGACGGAGGGUACAGAAGGAACAAGCCGGCGAGUAUCUCUCCUGACAGACUGUUUUCCGGCAUCAGCUCAGUGUGCCUAAUCCCCCAGAAUUCAAGGAAACACUCUGAGCUGCUUUAUGUUAUUUCUCUCUUCCUAAUUCUGGGGCCAAUGUGAAAAGAAAUCUAAAGGUGAAAGAAAGGCAGACAAUUCAACACCGAGCAAGUCCAGGCUGGAGAGGGCCAGCAUUCGCCACGGUCUGCACCCAAGAGGGGGAAGCAAAACAUGUCUGGCGUGAUGCUCGGCUGGGAUCUGCAUCAUGUCCCAUUACUGCGGACAUCUCUGAAUCCCAGUUUGGAGCCAGGAAUCAAGAGGAACCCUCCCCGCACCUGCCCUACUGAGUUCUGCCUCCACGAAGCUCCACUCGACACUUCGUCCCAUCCCGAGCCACAGCCUCUGUAACCCUGUCCUCCAGGUGCCCUGCCAGCAGCGUCUUCUGCGUUGGCAGAUAACCCCCGAAGUGCUGAGCCUAAAGGCAGAGCUGCAAGGAAGGAUCUGCUCACUGGGCUGGCUACCUGUUGCUUCCAACGUCACAUACCAGUUUGUCGCUUUCACUCCCAAAGGGAAGGAGAGCCCUCCUGCACAUCAGUGAGAAAUGUUCACUUCUCAUUGGUCGAUGGAUUGUUUUUGCCAUCUUUCUACACGAGAAGACAUUGACUCGUGGGCCCGCUGGGGAAAGGCAUUCACUGCCUCCGUGGGCUGAAAUUUUAGCUGUCUCAUCAGGACAAACGUGAAAGAAUAGAUUUAUGAAAUUUGGAUGAUAGUGAGUUUUCCUCAAGUCCUAAGAUAUUUUAUUUCUGUCUCACUUUCUUUAAAAAAUAUAGAACACUGAAUUGAAGCUGAAAGAGUAAUUUUGAAGUGUGAACGGUUUAACUUAUUGUACGUGUUCAAAUUUCUAUUUUGCGGCUCCUUUCAAGAGCCUAAUCAUUAUAAUCUAAUCACGCAAUUAAAAAAUUAUAUACUGCUGAAAACAAUUACACUAGAUGCUUCCAAUGGGAUAAAUUCAUUUGGAAAUUUAAGACACAAAGACCAAAUCUACAGAAGAUACCGGCUCAGUGACACUUCUUAUUUAUACCAAUUUAGUUUUAUUGCCUGAAUGUAUGAGAUAUUAUAAAAAAAAAAAAAAAUGAAAUAAAAUCUUUGCAAUGAGGGAUUACAGAAUGGCAGAUCUAUUUAUCUUCCUUUACUAAAAACAGUUCUUAAAAGUUGGAUCGUGACUGAGAGGAGAAAAGGGUGAAGAAGCAGAAUGUCGCCAAGCACAGAGAGAUUCACAGUCCCCCUCAUCCCACCGCUGGACCAGUCCCAUGAGGUGGGCGUUAGAGUCCCACUGUGAGGCUGGGGAAAUGGAGGCUCGAGGAAAUUGAGCACCGAGGCUGAAGAGACAGAGAGAUGGAGAUUAAACCAUCAUUUUUCUCACGGAUGGGAAGGACUGGAAAAUCCGGCGUCACACCUGUGAGCGAGUGGGCCUGCCCGAGCUCCCACAGAACUAGAAGUUCUCGCCCUCCGGGUCCCUGUGACAGCGCCAGCGCGGGCCUCCCGUCCCCAGGGCCGAACACCGCUCCGGAUAGUCACCCACAAAUGUGACGAGACAAAGGAGUAUGUUGGGGACAGGCGGGGAGGAGACAUCACACUGCGGAGCCGAGUGCCUGGGUUCCUCUCCCAGGCUCCCCCGCGGGACGGUCACUCCUCGUCCUCUGGGGAGAGAUAAAAAUGGCAUCUCCCCAGGGGCAGUUGCGAGGACAGUGACAAACACUGGGUCAACUAUAGGAUAGUUUAUAUUUCUAAGAAACAGAGCGCAUACUGCCAGAAGCUUAAGAAUCUAUUGAGAACAAUCUAAGGAGUUUAAAGAGAGGCGGCAGGUGGAGUCGAACCGGGUUUUCAGGUACCUCGAUGACCGCAGAUGAGUCACCACAUUGUGCAACUAUUUUCUUAGUUGUCCACAUCCAGCAGGCCCAGUGCUAAAUGACAAGUAUGACAGCUUUUCGGAGCAGAAUAAGGUGACUGUUACUUCAGGAACUGAGGAGAGAUAGGCCUGGGAAAGUGGUUGUAAUGAUUUUCUUCAGAACUGAUAACAAGAAUUAAUAACAUGAAAGAGAAGAAUCUUCGUGAGACAUGUCUGCAGGCAGCUCGGUCCUUUAAUUCAGAGCAGAAUUGUUUUAAUUUUUAAUAGUUUAGGAUGUAAUAGAUAAAUUAAUUAAAUUAGUUCAUGUUGUUCAAACAGUCAUAGUAUCAGUUAUUUCCGGUAAUGCAUAGCACAACAAUUCUUUUCCUAUUUAGGAGCCAGGAAUAAGCAGCGGAGGAGCAUAGUUAGAAGUAAACAGUACCACUAAUUCGAAAAAAACUAUUUCCAGCUCAUUGAAUUGUUUUUUAAUUUCCUCCUUUAUCUCCUUUAUUGUGUCUAAGAUAUUCGCAUCGCUCAAAUAUGAUCUUUAUAUGUUCUGCUUAUGAUAUUAAAUACACAAAUUUUAUUUUAGUAGUGCAUACAGAAACGAUCCCAUGUAGUCUGGAUAAAGGAGAUUUAAAGUACAGGUUACAAAGGAUUAAUUUUAUGUAUAAAUCCCAUUUUUACUCAGUUAGCCAAGGAAGUUCCUCACUUGUAAAACCUUCACGAGAGUUAACUAUAAAUAUACCGGAGGCAAAGCUGGGGAUUUGGGACAAUAAUUUAUGAUUAAAUCCAAUCUUUUAAUCUAGCCUUCGAGAGUUGACUAUGAAACCUCUGUCCUCAGAGCUUUGCCCCUUUUAAUUAUAAUUCCUUGUAUACUCAUUGAUUUAGGGAGCUGGAAGAUUCACCUCCUAAAAUAGGGCACUUCCUGAAUGGGAAUCUGUUUAAAAGAGUGUUUGACAUAUCAUGUAGCUGCAACCCUUUCGACAGGCAGUAGCUAUUGGUAUAAAAACCAGCAGUUAAAUCUCAUAUUCACCUCUGUUCUACAUACAGCAUAUGCUUACAUAUUCUUAUUGUAUGUCUACAGUUUAACUCCAUUUUCCAAAUCUAACCUAGCCUGCUUCCUUCCUCUGGGGCAAGAAAAGCAACUCGUAAAGUCAUCUGAGCAUCAUAACCUUCAGGUGGUAUCUUCUGGGCUUGAAGGUUUGCCAGAGGUGCUGUGUGUUGGCUCACGCCACUCAACAGGAAGUCUGCACUGAACCCACAUCUCUGAUCACCUGUUGCCCUGAGGAAUAUUCACCCCGGAACAUUCACCAGAUUGUCUUAAUUCACCUGUCUCCUGCUUUGUGUCACUCAGCCCUAAGGGAAGAGAUUGAACUGUUUAAAAUAGAUCUCUAUUUUAAUUCUACGGUUAGAAGAUUGGAAUUUGACUCAAAAAUCUACUUGUUCUAGCUCCAGUGGUUCUGGUGAAUAUUAAAAGAGGGAAAAUAUAUUUUAAAAAAUAUGCUCCAGCAAAUCUGUAGCAUCUUUUUUAUAAGCAAAGCAUUAAACAUCACCCACUUGCUGGCCACUGCUCCCCACCUUGGUCAUCUGAAGUCAAUCACUGCUGU
Long non-coding RNA from Pteropus alecto (black flying fox), 12818 nucleotides. RefSeq lists it as uncharacterized. The transcript has 4 exons. The record is from RefSeq and is a predicted model, not a curated record. Lineage: Eukaryota; Metazoa; Chordata; Mammalia; Chiroptera; Pteropodidae.